This 419-nucleotide ribosomal RNA is filed under the name uncultured microorganism. Its description in RNAcentral is "bacterial SSU rRNA". It matches the Rfam family "Archaeal small subunit ribosomal RNA", at positions 330 to 745 of the family's 1478-position model. The record is from RNAcentral.
GUGCACCAGGCGCGAAACCUCCGCAAUGCGGGAAACCGCGACGGGGGGACCCCGAGUGCCGUGGCAACGCCACGGCUUUUCCGGAGUGUAAAAAGCUCCGGGAAUAAGGGCUGGGCAAGGCCGGUGGCAGCCGCCGCGGUAAUACCGGCGGCCCGAGUGGUGGCCGCUAUUAUUGGGCCUAAAAGCGUCCGUAGCCGGGCCCGUAAGUCCCUGGCGAAAAUCCCACGGCUCAAACCGUGGGGCUUGCUGGGGAUACUGCGGGUCUUGGGACCGGGAGAGGCGGGGGGUACCCCUGGGGUAGGGGUGAAAUCCUAUAAUCCCAGGGGGAACCGCCAGUGGCGAAGGCGCCCCGCUGGAACGGGUCCGACGGUGAGGGACGAAGGCCAGGGGAGCAAAACCGGAUUAGAUACCCGGGUAGU